CCCACUGCUAUCGAGGUGGGACUAAGCCAUGCUAGUUGAGCGCACAGAACUAUGUCUGUGAGCGGCACACUGCUCAGUAACACGUAGCUAACCUACCCUUAGGACGUGGACAACCCCGAGAAAUUGGGGCUAAUCCGCGAUAGAUGUAUUGUCCUGGAAUGGUAUUACGUCUAAAGGUAUCCCAUACAUGUUUGGUAUAUGCCUAAGGAUGGGGCUGCGGCCGAUCAGGCUGUUGGUGAGGUAAUGGCUCACCAAACCUUUGACCGGUACGGGCCAUGAGAGUGGUAGCCCGGAGAUGGACACUGAGACAAGGGUCCAGGCCCUACGGGGCGCAGCAGGCGCGAAACCUCCUCAAUGCACUUACGUGCGAAGGGGCUACCUCGAGUGCCAUCUGAUGAAGGUGGCUUUUCCUAGGUCUAAAAAGCCUUGGGAAUAAGAGGGGGGCAAGACUGGUGUCAGCCGCCGCGGUAACACCAGCCCCUCGAGUGGUGGGGAUGAUUAUUGGGCCUAAAGCGUCCGUAGCCUGCCGUGUAAGUUUCCCGUUAAAUCCAGCGUCUUAAGCGUUGGACCGCGGGAAAUACUGUACGGCUAGAGAGUGGGAGAGGUCAGCGGUAUUCUGGGGGUAGGGGCGAAAUCCUUUGAUCCCCGGAGGACCACCAGUGGCGAAGGCUGCUGUCUAGAACACGUCUGACGGUCAGGGACGAAAGCUGGGGUAGCGAACCGGAUUAGAUACCCGGGUAGUCCCAGCCGUAAACGAUGCAUGCUAGGUGUUGGGUUGGCCGCGAGCCACCC
RNAcentral lists this ribosomal RNA (792 nucleotides) under uncultured archaeon. RNAcentral describes it as "bacterial SSU rRNA". It matches the Rfam family "Archaeal small subunit ribosomal RNA", at positions 23 to 795 of the family's 1478-position model. The record is from RNAcentral.